GAUGUCAAGCUUCAGCAGCCUUGCAUCUAUGGAUAAAUGAGAUGUCACUCCAGCUGCAGUCCUUGUCCAGAUCUGUACAGUAAAGAGCAAAGUGGAAAACCAACUCAAGACUUUGAGGGAGCGACAUACAAAACACAUAAUGUGAAACAAUGCAAAUCUGAAUGGUACAAAAUCCCCGUGAAAGAGCUGGAUGUUAACAGUUGGCCCAGGGAUAAUUCUCAUCUUCCAAUGGAGGAGCACAGCUUCCGUUUUCCAUAACAGAACAGCCAGGGCAGCUGGAAGGCAGGGCUGCAUUCCAGACUUCCACCAACAAUGGUACUCAUCAACAUCUGGAAUCACAACCACAGCAGAUCUAAGAGACCCACCAGCCUCAUGACAAGCUUCUGUUUUCAAAGAAAGUUUUAGGGGGUCAUGACCAUGAGAUGCUGGACCAGGAUGGUAAGCAUCAAGAAACAG
Non-coding RNA from Saimiri boliviensis boliviensis (Bolivian squirrel monkey), 456 nucleotides. NCBI's taxonomy places the organism in Eukaryota, Metazoa, Chordata, Mammalia, Primates, Cebidae. The record is from RefSeq and is a predicted model, not a curated record.